Molecule: long non-coding RNA, 2060 nt
Organism: Peromyscus eremicus (cactus mouse)
Lineage: Eukaryota; Metazoa; Chordata; Mammalia; Rodentia; Cricetidae
Exons: 2
Source: RefSeq, a predicted model, not a curated record
AGAGGCUAGCCACACUUCCCUUUGCCCUGCGAGUUUGACAGGCGCCAUGUGGAACUGGGGGUGGGGGGGUAACAUGCAGACAAGGCCUCCUCUUCUUUAGGCUUAUUUAUUUUGUGAGAGCAGAGGCCUCUCCCUUCUCAUUGCUGCCCCUGCUGUCUCCUCCUGUCCCCUGUAGCCUGCCCAUCCCAGCCCCUGCCAUCGGGGAUCUGCUGCAGUAACAAGCCUGUUUUCUAGCAAGACCAGUCGGGAGUGGGGGACACAGGCAGCAAUGGGCAUUGGAGUCUGGCAUCCUGUGGCCCGUCCCAGUGCCAGGGCUCUCUCUAGGGUGAACCCAGGGCCCGUGGCUUCCUCUUUGUCCUUGCCGUUGCUGUAUGCAAGACAGAGCUAUCUAUCACUCCUACCUUCCAGAGUCACCAAGUCCCUGGAGAAUACGAGGGCACAGUCUGAGCCCAAGAAGUUGCUUGAAGCUCCUCCUCAUGUCCUGCCCUGCUGGGGGUUUGGGGGGGCAGGAGAACAAGCCUUUAUAGCCAACUGUCCCAUGGGCCAGACCCCAUGCUGCUGGCGGAACCUCUCUAGUUGCCCGGCCCUGGCCAGUUUCUACUAGGCUUCAUCAGGAGGCUACUUAUACUGCUGAGAGCUGGGGCGGUUGGGAUGGGAGUGGGGGUUGAGCCAAAGCCAGGCCACUAAGUCCUAAUGUCCAGGGUUCCCCCCAGAAAACUCUCCAGCCUGCCACCUUCCUCUCCUCUCCCAGCACCCCGCCUGCAUGGGGCCCCAUCUGGCACUGCAUGGGCCGCAGGUCCCCGUGUGUCCCCGUGUGUCCCCCUUGUAGAAGCCUGUUGUGUCAUGCUGACUGUGUGACUCCUCUUCCCCCACCCCAUACUGAAAGAUUCACAACACCUCUACCUCUGGGCCCACCACCCCAAGACCGGUCAGGCUCCCGCCGCCUCACGUGCAUGUCAGUGUCCUGGACAUCAGAGUUCCACUGCAAGACUGCCCUCUUCCCGUGUGCUACCCCUGCACCUCCCUCCACCCUCUCCUUCUGCUUGUGGAGAUCAGUGUCCUUCUGGAUCAUUGUCCAUAUCUCUCAAAGGAAAAAAAGAAAAAGAUUCCUCAAUGCUUUUCUUUUCAAAAGGGAAAAAAAAAGGAAAAAAAAAACAAUGCCAACAGCCCAGCGUCCGUGAACAACCCGACAGUAACAAAGCAUGCGUGCGGGAUGGAGGAAGAACUUCAGCGAGAGGGAAGCAUCGAGACUCUGAGUAACAGCUCAGGCUCCACCAGUGGCAGCAUCCCAAGAAACUUCGAUGGCUACCGAUCUCCGCUCCCCACCAACGAGAGCCAGCCACUCAGCCUCUUCCCCACCGGCUUCCCGUAGGCACCAGCCACCUGCUUCUGACUGGCUGGCCGAGCUAAAGGGACUGGGAGAAGCACCCCUCCCCACCCCCGCUGGCCUCUGCUCCUACCCUUCUCAGUCUCUGCUCCUUUUUCAUCAACCCCACCUUCCCUAAGCUUAGUGACAAGAGCUACUCAUCCUAUCUGGACGAGGAAAGACCUCCAGAACACCCCGCCGACCUCUGCCACUCCUGUCACUGGGGGCUGUGGCCAAGAGACUGCAGAAACUCGGGUCCCUUCUCUCUUUGCACAUAAUGUCCCGCAUCGGAUCCGCUUUUGUAUUUUUUAACUGUACCCACAGGGGGACUGGAACAGUGGCCAGAUCUUCGGGCCUGGGUGGGGAGAAGUUGAAUGGUCCAGCCAGGCAUUUUGGUGGACAAUGUCAGCUAGCCCACUUCAGGCUGUGAUGCACGCUGCCCCCAGGUAUCCCUGCUCAGUUCCUUCCAAGACAGGAGUGAGCUGAAGCCCAGAGUGAUAGGGAAGGAAGAAGGAAAGAGGCUCCCUUCGCCCCUCACUUCCCUGUUGGCUCAUGGGGAGAACUGUCUGUCUUACCUCCAAGCCCUUGUACCCUGGCCUGUACUGUUCAGUGAAGGAAACUGUGGUUACUAAGGCCAUGUCAAAAGUGCACGUCUUGUCCAAUAAAUCACGCUGCAAUUGGUGUCCAUUCCUGA